GAUGAACGCUGGCGGCGUGCUUAACACAUGCAAGUCGAACGAUUGAAGCUGGAGCUUGCUCCGGCCGAUUUCGUGGCGGACGGGUGAGUAACGCGUGGGUAACCUGCCUCAUACAGGGGGAUAGCAGUUGGAAACGACUGGUAAAACCGCAUAAGCGCACAGUGUCGCAUGACACAGUGUGAAAAACACUCCGGUGGUAUGAGAUGGACCCGCGUCUGAUUAGCUAGUUGGUGAGUAACGGCCCACCAAGGCGACGAUCAGUAGCCGGCCUGAGAGGUGAACGGCCACAUUGGGACUGAGACA
RNAcentral lists this ribosomal RNA (303 nucleotides) under uncultured bacterium. RNAcentral describes it as "bacterial SSU rRNA". It matches the Rfam family "Bacterial small subunit ribosomal RNA", at positions 28 to 326 of the family's 1533-position model. The record is from RNAcentral.